UAAGGAUUUCAAUAAGCAGCAUAAGUUUACAUUUCAUGUCCAAAAAAGAGGGAACAAACUGCACGUCUGGUCCGACCCCUGUUCUCCUGUUCUACUCUAACCCACUGAUCCAUAAUCAUAAACCAACUCUCCGCCCAAGAGUCCGUCCCGUCACAUUAACCACUCAACACUGUUCAUCCUCUUCAUAUGAGAUAAGACAAACUUUAUUGUCCCCGCAAGAAAAUUUGUCUUAGGCAACAAUGCCACACAAAAACUUCAAUCACAGCAUGCUGCAGACAGUAAUGUACAACCAACCGACACAACAGAGAGACAAAAAAAAGAAAAGCCCACAAGCGUCGGCCUAAAGAUGUUGCAUCAGCCGCUGAAUACAGAUAGACGUGUGAAAAUAAAUGAAAAUAUCAUUUCCACAAGAACAAAGAACAAUACAAUACUUAGAUGAACAAGAGCAGCCGAGGUAAAAUCAUUGAAAAAUGAUAAAAUAAAAUCAGUAACAGCAAAUGUAGUAGCGCGUGCAAGUAAUACUAAACAGGCAGAGGGCGCUAAAACCCCUUAGAAACCUCUUAGAGUUUAGAAGGUUGUUUAUUUAACAGGGCAGGGGACGUCGGGAGGAAAGAGAGCUUGUAGCGAUUACUUUUGUUUCUGCGGGCUCUGUAACGUCUCCUUAAGGGAAAAACUUCAUACUCUGAACACAGAAUAUGAGAAGGAUCCUCCAAGUUUCUUUGUGCCUGACUGACAAAUGUUUUCUCGGAGAAAGCUUGUAGGACGGGUAAAUUAUCAACAGCACAAUCCCAAUAUUGAAAAAGAAAAUCAAUAACAACAAAAUCAUCAUUAACGUGUUUUACAUUUACCUUCUUAACCUCUGUACCUCACAUAAAUUAAAAAAAAAAUAAAAAAUUCAAAAUUAAAUUUCAGAUAAAAUUUUCCUUCUUUCCUCCAAGAACAGUUUUUGUACAUUUCCAUUGGGUACAUUAUUUCUUGCUUUACCUUUAAUAUUCAUUUCAGUUUGACUUAAAAAACAAAUUGUUGGUAUGUUUGAUAUCCGGCAUUGUUUACGAUUGUUAUGGCCGUUUUGUGUAGUCGUUUGAUUGGUGGGUGCGUUUGUAGGAGUUGUCCUCAAAUCAACAAGUUUAGACGACAGAGUGUACAAUGAUUUAUCAUCCAGGGUGUUUUCUGUUUUUCCCAAAACUGCAAUGCUUCUUGCCGACUUUCCUCGCAUAUAUUUUUUAUGGAAUUCCCAGCAGAUUUUGGAGUCUAAUAUCACACCAAGAAAUGUAUUUUGUUUUUUUUUAAAUCAUCGUCAAUCAUAACUUGUACUUGUGUAUUAAUUUUAGGAUUUUCAGACAACGGUUGUUUGUAUCAAACUACAUUUUAAUUUACUAAUUUCUGCUGUGACCACCUUCAAAAGCUGCUGCAAGUUUUCCCGUGAACAGAAAGUGUCGGUCUCUUCAGCAAAUGGUACAAAUUUAAGUAUUCUUGAUACUUUACAUAUGUUAUUAAAGGUGUUUUCAUAUACAGUCCUCUUUUAAAGAUCCGUACUCAGUCCUCUUAAUGUGGACCCAAAAGUGGACCAACAGAAAAGGGACAUUGUGAAAUCUUUUGAAAGAGGACCAAGAUACAGAGCAAACAGUUUAGGACCCAGUGCAGAGCCCUGUGGACCUCCACGAGUAAUACAGAGACAUUUUGAUUUGUAAUUACAAUUGUGCUCACAUUUAUUGUCAUGUGAGCUGCUGCCACUUAAAACUGUCUCAUGUGACCUGGUCACCUGAUCAGGCAGCAGUGAGGAGGUGCGUAGCGGGACGUCGGGGGAGAACGAGGAGGCGGCGGCGCUGCAGCAACAUGACUCUCCUGUAGGAGGCGCCACAGAGUCUGAGCAGAAGCCCAGCACUACUGCAUCAUGGGACGAGGAGACGGACGGCUGUCAGUCCUCCAGAAGUCGACCAAACUUCUUUUACCGCAGGAAGCGAGCCCUCAGGUCGAAGCUCACCUGUAAGGAUCACCCAGCCGGUAACCUUGACGACAGCAGCGUCAGUGACAUCACCGACUCUGACUGAAGACGAGCGGCCGUCAGAUUUCAUUUCUGCCAAUCGACAUUAAAAUCUUUCGUUGAGUUUGAA
This is a non-coding RNA of Plectropomus leopardus (leopard coralgrouper), 2114 nucleotides long. The record is from RefSeq and is a predicted model, not a curated record. Lineage: Eukaryota; Metazoa; Chordata; Actinopteri; Perciformes; Serranidae.